AAAAGGACCAGCUACUGAACCACCACUGUUAUUUCCUGCAACGUGGGGCAUUUUGUUGUUCUUGAAACCACUGGCUUCAGUUGUAGGAAGGACAUUACAAAUAAUGGCUCAUCAAUAUACAAUCUGCGCUGGUUUAAUACGUGACAAGGAGGCAAGCCAGCAGUGGAGAACAGCAAUGGAUAUGAUGCAUUUAAGCAAGCAAGAGAAAUUAAGGACGAAAAGGCGGAAGAGUUUCUGAAAAAUCAGGUAAGGAGUUUGGGUGGUUCUCUACAAAUGUG
RNAcentral lists this long non-coding RNA (278 nucleotides) under Struthio camelus australis. RNAcentral's name for it is "lncRNA (ENSSCUG00000000912.1)". Lineage: Eukaryota; Metazoa; Chordata; Aves; Struthioniformes; Struthionidae. The record is from RNAcentral.